UACGUAGGGUGCAAGCGUUAAUCGGAAUUACUGGGCGUAAAGCGUGCGCAGGCGGUUUUGUAAGACAGAGGUGAAAUCCCCGGGCUCAACCUGGGAACUGCCUUUGUGACUGCAAGGCUUGAGUGCGGCAGAGGGGGAUGGAAUUCCGCGUGUAGCAGUGAAGUGCGUAGAUAUGCGGAGGAACACCGAUGGCGAAGGCAAUCCCCUGGGCCUGCACUGACGCUCAUGCACGAAAGCGUGGGGAGCAAACAGG
RNAcentral lists this ribosomal RNA (253 nucleotides) under uncultured bacterium. Its description in RNAcentral is "partial 16S ribosomal RNA". It matches the Rfam family "Bacterial small subunit ribosomal RNA", at positions 524 to 776 of the family's 1533-position model. The record is from RNAcentral.